Molecule: long non-coding RNA, 143 nt
Organism: Fundulus heteroclitus (mummichog)
Lineage: Eukaryota; Metazoa; Chordata; Actinopteri; Cyprinodontiformes; Fundulidae
Exons: 3
Source: RefSeq, a predicted model, not a curated record
AGGAUCCAAGAGAUGCAAACCAAUGAACAGCAGCAACAACACUUAAGAUCUGCUUUAAAAGACAAGGAAAAGGAAACUGAAAAACUCCAGCAAAGAAUUCAACAGAUUGAAGCCUCUUACCAACAGCUGCACUAUAAUGCAGA